RNAcentral lists this microRNA precursor (56 nucleotides) under Limulus polyphemus (Atlantic horseshoe crab). Its description in RNAcentral is "Lpo-Mir-315-P6-v2_pre stem-loop". The record is from RNAcentral. Lineage: Eukaryota; Metazoa; Arthropoda; Merostomata; Xiphosura; Limulidae.
UUUGAUUGUUGCUCAGAAUGCGUGGGUUUGUCAGGCUUUCGAGCAAUGAUCAAACG